UUUAACAGUCUAAUGGCCUGGAGAUAGAAGCUAUUUUUCAGCCUCUCGGGUCCAAGCUUCGAUUCACCUGUACUGCCUCUGCCUUCUGAUGGUACUGGGAGAACAGGCCGUGGCUCAGGUGGCUGAGGUCCUUCCUGUGAGUGAUGUGUUGAGUGGUACUGGGAGAACAGGUGGCUGAGGUCCUUCCUGUGAGUGAUGUGUUGAGUGGUACUGGGAGAACAGGUGGCUGAGGUCCUUCCUGUGAGUGAUGUGUUGAGUGGUACUGGGAGAACAGGUGGCUGAGGUCCUUCCUGUGAGUGAUGUGUUGAGUGGUACUGGGAGAACAGGUGGCUGAGGUCCUUCCUGUGAGUGAUGUGUUGAGUGGUACUGGGAGAACAGGUGGCUGAGGUCCUUCCUGUGAGUGAUGUGUUGAGUGGUACUGGGAGAACAGGUGGCUGAGGUCCUUCCUGUGAGUGAUGUGUUGAGUGGUACUGGGAGAACAGGUGGCUGAGGUCCUUCCUGUGAGUGAUGUGUUGAGUGGUACUGGGAGAACAGGUGGCUGAGGUCCUUCCUGUGAGUGAUGUGUUGAGUGGUACUGGGAGAACAGGUGGCUGAGGUCCUUCCUGUGAGUGAUGUGUUGAGUGGUACUGGGAGAACAGGUGGCUGAGGUCCUUCCUGUGAGUGAUGUGUUGAGUGGUACUGGGAGAACAGGUGGCUGAGGUCCUUCCUGUGAGUGAUGUGUUGAGUGGUACUGGGAGAACAGGUGGCUGAGGUCCUUCCUGUGAGUGAUGUGUUGAGUGGUACUGGGAGAACAGGUGGCUGAGGUCCUUCCUGUGAGUGAUGUGUUGAGUGGUACUGGGAGAACAGGUGGCUGAGGUCCUUCCUGUGAGUGAUGUGUUGAGUGGUACUGGGAGAACAGGUGGCUGAGGUCCUUCCUGUGAGUGAUGUGUUGAGUGGUACUGGGAGAACAGGUGGCUGAGGUCCUUCCUGUGAGUGAUGUGUUGAGUGGUACUGGGAGAACAGGUGGCUGAGGUCCUUCCUGUGAGUGAUGUGUUGAGUGGUACUGGGAGAACAGGUGGCUGAGGUCCUUCCUGUGAGUGAUGUGUUGAGUGGUACUGGGAGAACAGGUGGCUGAGGUCCUUCCUGUGAGUGAUGUGUUGAGUGGUACUGGGAGAACAGGUGGCUGAGGUCCUUCCUGUGAGUGAUGUGUUGAGUGGUACUGGGAGAACAGGUGGCUGAGGUCCUUCCUGUGAGUGAUGUGUUGAGUGGUACUGGGAGAACAGGUGGCUGAGGUCCUUCCUGUGAGUGAUGUGUUGAGUGGUACUGGGAGAACAGGUGGCUGAGGUCCUUCCUGUGAGUGAUGUGUUGAGUGGUACUGGGAGAACAGGUGGCUGAGGUCCUUCCUGUGAGUGAUGUGUUGAGUGGUACUGGGAGAACAGGUGGCUGAGGUCCUUCCUGUGAGUGAUGUGUUGAGUGGUACUGGGAGAACAGGUGGCUGAGGUCCUUCCUGUGAGUGAUGUGUUGAGUGGUACUGGGAGAACAGGUGGCUGAGGUCCUUCCUGUGAGUGAUGUGUUGAGUGGUACUGGGAGAACAGGUGGCUGAGGUCCUUACUGUGAGUGAUGUGUUGAGUGGUACUGGGAGAACAGGUGGCUGAGGUCCUUACUGUGAGUGAUGUGUUGAGUGGUACUGGGAGAACAGGUGGCUGAGGUCCUUCCUGUGAGUGAUGUGUUGAGUGUCCGUUUGUUGAUUGUCUUCUGUUCGCCCCAUAAGUCAUGAAAGUGGUCGAAUGGGUGAAGAGUGUCAAUUCGUUCGUAGGCGAAUUCCACCCAUGUCAACGUAAUUUACCUAAUGUGAGUCUCAUUUCAUACAAGCACAUUUGUUUCCACAACGGAGGAGGACGUGAGGAGUCGAGCAAAACUAAUUGAGAUUCUCCCCUACAGACGAGACCUUGGGACUCAUGGCUGCAUUUCCACAGGCAGCCCAAUUCUGAUGUUUUUUCUACUAAUUGGUCUUUCGACCAAUCACAGCAGCGCUUU
Long non-coding RNA from Oncorhynchus keta (chum salmon), 2016 nucleotides. RefSeq lists it as uncharacterized. The record is from RefSeq and is a predicted model, not a curated record. Lineage: Eukaryota; Metazoa; Chordata; Actinopteri; Salmoniformes; Salmonidae. The transcript is spliced from 4 exons.